CUAAAUUGCUGAGGCUGACUUUGAACUCUCAAUCCUGCUCCUGGGCUGCUGGGAUGCCACUGCAUCCAGCUUGAUUUUAAACUUUCUAGUAAUCACAUUUAAAAUGGUAAAAAAAAAAAAAAACAGGUGAAAUUAAUUUUAAUAAUAUUUUUAUUUAACCCAGUUUAUCCAAAGUAUUGUUUCAACAUGUAAUCUAUGUACAGGAAUUAUUCAUGAGAUAUUUUACAUUCUGUUUUCAUACUUGAGCAGAAAUCAAGUAUAUAUUUAUACUUCUCCACACCUCAAUUCAGAUUUAAAUUUUCAUUAAAAAAUAUUCAAAUUGUAGUUAUAGUUGUAGAUUCAUAUAACCAAGUUGUCCCAAACAUACUUAAAUGGUUCCCAGCAAUUGAAUUGAGUAUCAGUGUAUAAAUUUUAAUUUUAGAUAUGAAUAAAUAAGCUUAGAAGUCAGUUCUCAGGGGCACUGGCCAUAUUCCAAGUACUCAAUAGCCACAUGUGACAGGUGGCUUCCACAGGGACAGCACAGGCCCAGAGAGCAAGAAUUCACUGACACAUCUACAAAAGAAGAUCCAGUCAGUCAUAGAGAAAUAAGGAAGUCUAAGCAAAUCUGUUCCUGGGACCCCACCAUACCUGGAUAUGCCAGGCACACAGCAGGGUGGGCUGGCUGGAGAUUUGUUUGCUUCGGAGGGUUAAAAAUAAUAAUAAUAAUAAUAAUAUUAAUAUGGGGCUGGGGAUGUGGCUCAAGCAGUAGCGCGCUCACCUGGCAUGUGUGGGGCACUGGGUUUACUCCUCAGCCAGCACCACAUAAAAAUAAAAUAAAGAUGUUGUGUCCACCAAAAACUGAAAAAUAAAUAUUAAAAAUUCUCUCUCUCUUUAAAAUCAUCAUCAUCGUCAUCAUCUUUAUCCCUUCCUGGAAGGUCACCUCACUCUAGGGGAAGUAGAAAACAAGUUUGGCCCAGUAGAGCCAUGAAAGAGAGUUGAAGUGGCCCCAAACUGGACCCAUAGAAGGGGACUCCUGGGAAGACCGAAUGGGGCUUUGAGUUACAAAGGACUGUUUUGUGCUCCUCGGGGAUACUGAGAGGCUCAAGCAAUCAUGCUUUGGAUGGCCCUGUGAGAAACACUUAAGGGACCAACAUGCCACCAUUCAGCUUCUCUGUUUCAAGGGCAUGGUAGGUCAACAAGAAUACCCAGAAAGGGGUAGAAUGAUUGCCCAAAUGGUCACAAUGACUCCCCUCCCAGCCUUCAUACUCUUUGCCAUGAGACUUUGUAG
Molecule: long non-coding RNA, 1267 nt
Filed under: Marmota monax (woodchuck)
Lineage: Eukaryota; Metazoa; Chordata; Mammalia; Rodentia; Sciuridae
Source: RNAcentral